Molecule: long non-coding RNA, 385 nt
Organism: Panicum hallii
Lineage: Eukaryota; Viridiplantae; Streptophyta; Magnoliopsida; Poales; Poaceae
Exons: 2
Source: RefSeq, a predicted model, not a curated record
UGGUGAGUGGGGGUGUGGGGUCAGUGGGGAAGGGGUGGCGGGGAGUCGGAGCCACGGAGGAAGCAGACGCACGAGCGGGGAGGCAGACCCACCGAGGAGACGAAGCAAUUUACAUCUCAUGAUUUAGCAUUUUUGCAAUUGAGCCAUGGAGGUCAUGAAAGGAGCUCAUAAGUUAUACAAGCAUGAAGUUGAGUAAUGUGGGUUUGUGAUAGUAUGAUUGUAGUUUUUUUUGGUGAGAUGUUUGCGCAGUAGAGUCAUGAAAGUUCAAUUUUUGCCUGUGAUGUAGUUUUUGAUUCAAGGAACGAGAGAGAGGCAAAUCUAUUUGUGUAAAUAGACUACUAUAAACCAAAUUUCUAUGCUUAUGACAUUUGGCAGUUAUGUAUAA